RNAcentral lists this ribosomal RNA (1068 nucleotides) under uncultured eukaryote. RNAcentral describes it as "SSU rRNA". It matches the Rfam family "Eukaryotic small subunit ribosomal RNA", at positions 577 to 1674 of the family's 1831-position model. The record is from RNAcentral.
CGGUAAUUCCAGCUCCAAUAGCGUANAUUAAAGUUGUUGCAGUUAAAAAGCUCGUAGUUGUACCUUGGGCUUGGUUGGCCGGUCCGCCUUUUUGGCGAGUACUGGACCCAACCGAGCCUUUCCUUCUGGCUAACCUUUCGCCCUUGUGGUGUUUGGCGAACCAGGACUUUUACUUUGAAAAGAUUAGAGUGUUCAAAACAGGCCUUUGCUCGAAUAUAUUAGCAUGGAAUAAUAGAAUAGGACGUUAUGGUUCUAUUUUGUUGGUUUCUAGGACCAUCGUAAUGAUUAAUAGGGACGGUCGGGGGCAUCAGUAUUCAGUCGUCAGAGGUGAAUUUCUUGGAUUACCUGAAGACUAACUACUGCGAAAGCAUUUGCCAAGGACGUUUUCAUUAAUCAAGAACGAAAGUUAGGGGAUCGAAGAUGAUCAGAUACCGUCGUAGUCUUAACCAUAAACUAUGCCGACUAGGGAUCGGGUGUUGUUCUUUUUUUGACGCACUCGGCACCUUACGAGAAAUCAAAGUCUUUGGGUUCUGGGGGGAGCAUGGUCGCAAGGCUGAAACUUAAAGGAAUUGACGGAAGGGCACCACCAGGAGUGGAGCCUGCGGCUUAAUUUGACUCAACACGGGGAAACUCACCAGGUCCAGACACAAAAAGGAUUGACAGAUUGAGAGCUCUUUCUUGAUUUUGUGGGUGGUGGUGCAUGGCCGUUCUUAGUUGGUGGAGUGAUUUGUCUGCUUAAUUGCGAUAACGAACGAGACCUUAACCUACUAAAUAGUGCUGCUAGCUUUUGCUGGUAUAGUCACUUCUUAGAGGGACUAUCGAUUUCAAGUCGAUGGAAGUUUGAGGCAAUAACAGGUCUGUGAUGCCCUUAGACGUUCUGGGCCGCACGCGCGCUACACUGACGGAGCCAACGAGUAUUAACCUUGGCCGAGAGGUCUGGGAAAUCUUGUGAAACUCCGUCGUGCUGGGGAUAGAGCAUUGUAAUUAUUGCUCUUCAACGAGGAAUUCCUAGUAAGCGCAAGUCAUCAGCUUGCGUUGAUUACGUCCCUGCCCUUGUACACACCGCCC